This 466-nucleotide ribosomal RNA is filed under the name Vreelandella stevensii. Its description in RNAcentral is "partial 16S ribosomal RNA". It matches the Rfam family "Bacterial small subunit ribosomal RNA", at positions 338 to 795 of the family's 1533-position model. The record is from RNAcentral. Lineage: Bacteria; Pseudomonadati; Pseudomonadota; Gammaproteobacteria; Oceanospirillales; Halomonadaceae.
CCUACGGGUGAGCAGCAGUGGGGAAUAUUGGACAAUGGGCGAAAGCCUGAUCCAGCCAUGCCGCGUGUGUGAAGAAGGCCUUCGGGUUGUAAAGCACUUUCAGUGGGGAAGAAAGCCUUGGGGCUAAUACCCUCGAGGAAGGACAUCACCCACAGAAGAAGCACCGGCUAACUCCGUGCCAGCAGCCGCGGUAAUACGGAGGGUGCGAGCGUUAAUCGGAAUUACUGGGCGUAAAGCGCGCGUAGGCGGUCUGAUAAGCCGGUUGUGAAAGCCCCGGGCUCAACCUGGGAACGGCAUCCGGAACUGUCAGGCUAGAGUGCAGGAGAGGAAGGUAGAAUUCCCGGUGUAGCGGUGAAAUGCGUAGAGAUCGGGAGGAAUACCAGUGGCGAAGGCGGCCUUCUGGACUGACACUGACGCUGAGGUGCGAAAGCGUGGGUAGCAAACAGGAUUAGAUACCCGUGUAGUC